UACGAAGGGGGCUAGCGUUGCUCGGAAUCACUGGGCGUAAAGGGUGCGUAGGCGGGUUUUAAGUCAGGGGUGAAAUCCUGGAGCUCAACUCCAGAACUGCCUUUGAUACUGAAGAUCUUGAGUUCGGGAGAGGUGAGUGGAACUGCGAGUGUAGAGGUGAAAUUCGUAGAUAUUCGCAAGAACACCAGUGGCGAAGGCGGCUCACUGGCCCGAUACUGACGCUGAGGCACGAAAGCGUGGGGAGCAAACAGG
RNAcentral lists this ribosomal RNA (252 nucleotides) under uncultured bacterium. RNAcentral's name for it is "partial 16S ribosomal RNA". It matches the Rfam family "Bacterial small subunit ribosomal RNA", at positions 524 to 776 of the family's 1533-position model. The record is from RNAcentral.